UUUUUGUUAUGGAUUGUAGAAGUUAUAUUUUAACUUGCAUGUUUGUGCGGUAUAUAUUAUAUAUUAAUCCAUCUUGACAUUUUUUAUAUUUCUUAUGACUAUUUGGAUAGCAUGCAAUAGAUGAGGGGUGUCCCCUCGAGAGCUUAAAAUCCACUCUCCAUAUUAUGUGUUAAUUUAUCAAACAUUCUGCAGUGUUGAGUAUUCAAAUCAUAUAUGUGUGCCGCCUUCAAUGAUUAACUAGACAUGAUACAUCUGACUGUAAUAACUGAUAUUAAUUGUGGACUAUUGUCAUCUUACUGUGGAUUCAAUGAUUAACGAAAUUGUACGCUAUAUACUUUGAUAAUAUAACAUUUCUACUGCCAUUGUUCCAAAAUAUAAUUAUUUCUACUAGUUGCUUAGCAAACAACUAAGGUGAUAUCGAGAUAUUUUUUAGCCAAUUAAGUGGUCAGUUUUUGAAUUUUAAAUUAAUUAGGUCCAAGUUUAUCUCAACUAAUACUACAUUUCUCUAAUUUUAUGCCGCAUCUAAGCAUUUGAUGUUGAGUCCCACAUGAAAGCUGCAUUAUUGUCUCUCUUCCAAACCUACCUGAGGUGAUAGCAUGGCGAUAACGACGUUAAUUACUAAAGGCACGCAUGCCUCAUCGACAUAAGCCAAAAUUUAAUUGCCGGAAACGGGUCGAUUUGUUUCCGCGGAGAGAAGAGAGAGACGUACGCCGAUGCAAUUAUGCGUAUCGGAAUUUUAAUAUUUUAAUCCUUUCAUAGAACCUAUUCUAUAUAAUUAGAGUACACUGCCAUAAACUAUAUCAAAAUGUGGACAUCGAUCACGACACUACAUUAGUACUCUAGUAUUGAGAAUUUGAGAUUCAAUAAUAUCUUGGCAUCGCAUUGAGUUUUUCGUGUCGACUCCCUAACUUAAUGAAAAGGGGCUAUUAGGGGCUAUUGCAUAACUAACUUUAUUUUGAAAAAUAACUACAGAUUUGACCCUAUUUUUUAUAAUUUGUGGAUUUAACCUCGGUUUUUAAAUUCGAAGCGGCCGUCUGACCCUACAUUAGUGUUCCGUGAGUACUAAGGUAAAAAAAAAGAAAACUACACGUGAAAAGACAAAAAUACCC
This 1109-nucleotide long non-coding RNA is filed under the name Oryza brachyantha (malo sina). Its description in RNAcentral is "long non-coding RNA (OBRA_LNC003397)". The record is from RNAcentral. Lineage: Eukaryota; Viridiplantae; Streptophyta; Magnoliopsida; Poales; Poaceae.